GACGAACGCUGGCGGCGUGCCUAAUACAUGCAAGUAGAACGCACAGUUUAUACCGUAGCUUGCUACACCAUAGACUGUGAGUUGCGAACGGGUGAGUAACGCGUAGGUAACCUGCCUGGUAGCGGGGGAUAACUAUUGGAAACGAUAGCUAAUACCGCAUAAUAUUGAUUAUUGCAUGAUAAUUGAUUGAAAGAUGCUAUUGCAUCACUACCAGAUGGACCUGCGUUGUAUUAGCUAGUAGGUGAGGUAACGGCUCACCUAGGCGACGAUACAUAGCCGACCUGAGAGGGUGAUCGGCCACACUGGGACUGAGACACGGCCCAGACUCCUACGGGAGGCAGCAGUAGGGAAUCUUCGGCAAUGGACGAAAGUCUGACCGAGCAACGCCGCGUGAGUGAAGAAGGUUUUCGGAUCGUGAAGCUCUGUUGUAAGAGAAGAACGGGUGUGAGAGUGGAAAGUUCACACUGUGACGGUAUCUUACCAGAAAGGGACGGCUAACUACGU
This 504-nucleotide ribosomal RNA is filed under the name uncultured bacterium. Its description in RNAcentral is "partial 16S ribosomal RNA". It matches the Rfam family "Bacterial small subunit ribosomal RNA", at positions 28 to 506 of the family's 1533-position model. The record is from RNAcentral.